This 479-nucleotide long non-coding RNA is filed under the name Sarcophilus harrisii (Tasmanian devil). Its description in RNAcentral is "lncRNA (ENSSHAG00000025935.1)". Lineage: Eukaryota; Metazoa; Chordata; Mammalia; Dasyuromorphia; Dasyuridae. The record is from RNAcentral.
UUCAGUUAACAUCAGAGACAUAACUGAGAUUAGUGCAUGGUUAACAAGAAUAAAUAGCUGUCAGGAAACUGCCAGAUGGUGAAGCUUUCCUUUCGCCUCCCUCCUCCAUCUCCACCUUGCCCACCACCACCCACUUCAGUCUGUCAUUUCUGAGAGUAUGACAAAAACAACAGCUAAGGAUUACAGAAAUAGCUUCAACUAAAAUGGCCAGCAGAGGAGGAAUAAGGUGUACCCUAACAAGUGCAGAGAAAGGAGGCUCUCAGUUUCCUUCAGUCUCAGCUCACUGAUUGACUCACCAUCACAGCUCCUGCUGAGAAAAGCUGUGACAACUGAGAGGGCGGAGGAGAGAGAAGAAGUAGAGAGCAAAGGGGAGGGGAGAGAAGAAGAAGAGAAAUGAAGGAAAAGGAUGAGAGAGAAAGAGAAGGAAAGAGAGAAAAGUAAAGGAAGAAAGUGGUAGAGAGCAGAGAAGAGGAAAUGAG